Long non-coding RNA from Notolabrus celidotus (New Zealand spotty), 580 nucleotides. RefSeq lists it as uncharacterized. NCBI's taxonomy places the organism in Eukaryota, Metazoa, Chordata, Actinopteri, Labriformes, Labridae. The transcript has 3 exons. The record is from RefSeq and is a predicted model, not a curated record.
CUGAUGUUAAACAAACAAUACUGUCCUCAUCCAGUUCAAACAAUGUAAUGACCAUAGAGGUUUUCUGUGGCAAUCAUAAUGGAACUUAUAUAGCCUGAAUUUAACAACAUACCAACUGUAAGAGUAAUAGGAUCAUUGUAUAACCUGCAUUUUACUUUUACUCUUGUGCUGUUGUGUCACUAUUUAGUAUUUGAAUGAUUUAAAUGUGUCUCAAUGUUGAUAUGAAGGAGGUGUAUUUUAUUUAACUUCAUGAUCCUCCUUACAAUUUAGCAGGAGAGACAAGUGAGGACAGACAGGGACAGACAGUGGAUGAAGGAACGGAAAGAGGACUUUGGUUUGUAAUGUUUGACCAGGGCGACCUAUACUCUGACUUCAGUCAUGAAGACGUGGACUUUGUCCACCACCACUACCAAUUGAGUGGAGGCAGAGUGGGAGAGCUGAGGUCUGCCAAGACCUACAGCAAAGAUUCCUAAUGUCAUGGUGAAAUCCCAACAGGAAGGGUUUUUUUUUCAGUUUCUCACCUGAUUCGCAAGGGUACGUAUUUAAAUAAUACUUUUUAAAAUUAUAUUUCAUUGGAAAU